UAUAGGUGUAGGUUACGGCCUGGUGGAGGCUAUGACCUGAUAUAGGUGUAGGUUACGGCCUGGUGGAGGCUAUGAACUGAUAUAGGUGUGUAGGUUACGGCCUGGUGAAGGCUAUGACCUGAUAUAGGUGUAGGUUAUGACCUGAUGGAGGUCUAAAUUCUCACAGUAGAUCUUAUUUCACUUCACAGUUGUGACGUUAUAAAUUUGUGUGAUCAUUUGCUCCAAAUUAACAACACCUGCUGGUUCCAACAUUCCGAGUGUGAACAGGAACAAAGUUAAGAAAUGAGACAAGAUAUUUAUU
Molecule: long non-coding RNA, 301 nt
Organism: Thalassophryne amazonica
Lineage: Eukaryota; Metazoa; Chordata; Actinopteri; Batrachoidiformes; Batrachoididae
Exons: 2
Source: RefSeq, a predicted model, not a curated record